RNAcentral lists this ribosomal RNA (388 nucleotides) under uncultured bacterium. Its description in RNAcentral is "bacterial SSU rRNA". It matches the Rfam family "Bacterial small subunit ribosomal RNA", at positions 28 to 417 of the family's 1533-position model. The record is from RNAcentral.
GACGAACGCUGGCGGCGUGCUUAACACAUGCAAGUCGAGCGGUAAGGCCCUUUCGGGGGUACACGAGCGGCGAACGGGUGAGUAACACGUGGGUGACCUGCCCUCAGCCCUGGGAUAAGCCCGGGAAACUGGGUCUAAUACCGGAUAUGACUCCAUGACGCAUGUUGUGGGGUGGAAAGCCUUGUGCGGCUGAGGAUGGGCCCGCGGCCUAUCAGCUUGUUGGUGGGGUGAUGGCCUACCAAGGCGACGACGGGUAGCCGGCCUGAGAGGGCGACCGGCCACACUGGGACUGAGAUACGGCCCAGACUCCUACGGGAGGCAGCAGUGGGGAAUCUUGCGCAAUGGGCGAAAGCCUGACGCAGCGACGCCGCGUGAGGGAUGACGGCCU